Molecule: non-coding RNA, 45 nt
Filed under: Schistosoma bovis
Lineage: Eukaryota; Metazoa; Platyhelminthes; Trematoda; Strigeidida; Schistosomatidae
Also listed under: 1 other name
Source: RNAcentral
ACCCAGCUGACGAGUCCCAAAUAGGACGAAACUCGCAUCCUCGAU